CUGUUACCGGACACAUCCAAGACAUGGAGAGCUGUACACUGACCAACUUCGUUCGGAAGAUAUUGCAAUUUAUUAUCACGCAAGGAGAGCACGCCCAGCUUCAGUAAAUUGCCUGUUAUCGAAAAAGCAUACGUUUGAACUCC
Diprion similis is the source of this 143-nucleotide long non-coding RNA. RefSeq lists it as uncharacterized. The transcript has 3 exons. NCBI's taxonomy places the organism in Eukaryota, Metazoa, Arthropoda, Insecta, Hymenoptera, Diprionidae. The record is from RefSeq and is a predicted model, not a curated record.